RNAcentral lists this ribosomal RNA (468 nucleotides) under uncultured bacterium. Its description in RNAcentral is "partial 16S ribosomal RNA". It matches the Rfam family "Bacterial small subunit ribosomal RNA", at positions 28 to 507 of the family's 1533-position model. The record is from RNAcentral.
GACGAACGCUGGCGGCGUGCUUAACACAUGCAAGUCGAACGGAAAGGCCCUGCUUUUGUGGGGUGCUCGAGUGGCGAACGGGUGAGUAACACGUGAGUAACCUGCCCUUGACUUUGGGAUAACUUCAGGAAACUGGGGCUAAUACCGGAUAGGAGCUCCUGCUGCAUGGUGGGGGUUGGAAAGUUUCGGCGGUUGGGGAUGGACUCGCGGCUUAUCAGCUUGUUGGUGGGGUAGUGGCUUACCAAGGCUUUGACGGGUAGCCGGCCUGAGAGGGUGACCGGGCACAUUGGGACUGAGAUACGGGCCAGACUCCAACGGGAGGCAGCAGUGGGGAAUAUUGCACAAUGGGCGGAAGCCUGAUGCAGCAACGCCGCGUGCGGGAUGACGGCCUUCGGGUUGUAAACCGCUUUCGCCUGUGACGAAGCGUGAGUGACGGUAAUGGGUAAAGAAGCACCGGCUAACUACGUG